This 355-nucleotide ribosomal RNA is filed under the name uncultured bacterium. Its description in RNAcentral is "bacterial SSU rRNA". It matches the Rfam family "Bacterial small subunit ribosomal RNA", at positions 917 to 1269 of the family's 1533-position model. The record is from RNAcentral.
GGGCCCGCACAAGCGGUGGAGCAUGUGGUUUAAUUCGAAGAUACGCGCAGAACCUUACCAACACUUGACAUGUUCGUCGCGACUUUAAGAGAUUAAAGUUUUCGGUUCGGCCGGACGAAACACAGGUGCUGCAUGGCUGUCGUCAGCUCGUGUCGUGAGAUGUUGGGUUAAGUCCCGCAACGAGCGCAACCCUCACUUUUAGUUGCCAUCAUUAAGUUGGGCACUCUGAAAGAACUGCCAGUGAUAAGCUGGAGGAAGGUGGGGAUGACGUCAAGUCCUCAUGGCCCUUACGUGUUGGGCUACACACGUGCUACAAUGGUAUCUACAACAGGAAGCAAGACUGCGAAGUUAAGCA